This 476-nucleotide ribosomal RNA is filed under the name uncultured organism. RNAcentral's name for it is "partial 16S ribosomal RNA". It matches the Rfam family "Bacterial small subunit ribosomal RNA", at positions 331 to 798 of the family's 1533-position model. The record is from RNAcentral.
GUACACUCCUGCGGGAGGCAGCAGUGGGGAAUUUUGGACAAUGGGCGAAAGCCUGAUCCAGCCAUGCCGCGUGCAGGAUGAAGGCCUUCGGGUUGUAAACUGCUUUUGUACGGAACGAAACGGCCUUUUCUAAUAAAGAGGGCUAAUGACGGUACCGUAAGAAUAAGCACCGGCUAACUACGUGCCAGCAGCCGCGGUAAUACGUAGGGUGCAAGCGUUAAUCGGAAUUACUGGGCGUAAAGCGUGCGCAGGCGGUUAUGUAAGACAGUUGCGAAAUCCCCGGGCUCAACCUGGGAACUGCAUCUGUGACUGCAUAGCUAGAGUACGGUAGAGGGGGAUGGAAUUCCGCGUGUAGCAGUGAAAUGCGUAGAUAUGCGGAGGAACACCGAUGGCGAAGGCAAUCCCCUGGACCUGUACUGACGCUCAUGCACGAAAGCGUGGGGAGCAAACAGGAUUAGAUACCCCUGUAGUCCCAU